UGAGGAAUAUUGCGCAAUGGACGAAAGUCUGACGCAGCCACGCCGCGUGCAGGAAGACACCCCUUCGGGGCGUAAACUGCUUUUAUAUGGGAAGAACACCCCGAUCCGCAUCGGGGUCUGACGGUACCAUACGAAUAAGGACCGGCUAACUCCGUGCCAGCAGCCGCGGUAAUACGGAGGGUCCAAGCGUUGUCCGGAAUCACUGGGUGUAAAGGGUGCGCAGGCGGGCGUGUAAGUCAGAGGUGAAAGCCCCCGGCCUAACCGGGGAAUUGCCUUUGAUACUGCACGUCUUGAGUCUUGGAGAGGUUGCCAGAAUUCGUGGUGUAGCGGUGAAAUGCGUAGAUAUCACGAGGAAUACCGGAAGCGUAGGCGGGCAACUGGACAAGCACUGACGCUGAGGCACGAAAGCGUGGGGAGCGAACAGGAUUAGAUACCCCCGUAGUCC
Molecule: ribosomal RNA, 445 nt
Filed under: uncultured prokaryote
Description: bacterial SSU rRNA
Rfam family: Bacterial small subunit ribosomal RNA
Source: RNAcentral